AACAAUCCGGUAUUAAUCUGCUGUCGAGCGAUGGAUUAAGAGCUUGCUCUUAUGAAGUUAGCGGCGGACGGGUGAGUAACACGUGGGUAACCUGCCCAUAAGACUGGGAUAACUCCGGGAAACCGGGGCUAAUACCGGAUAACAUUUUGAACCGCAUGGUUCGAAAUUGAAAGGCGGCUUCGGCUGUCACUUAUGGAUGGACCCGCGUCGCAUUAGCUAGUUGGUGAGGUAACGGCUCACCAAGGCAACGAUGCGUAGCCGACCUGAGAGGGUGAUCGGCCACACUGGGACUGAGACACGGCCCAGACUCCUACGGGAGGCAGCAGUAGGGAAUCUUCCGCAAUGGACGAAAGUCUGACGGAGCAACGCCGCGUGAGUGAUGAAGGCUUUCGGGUCGUAAAACUCUGUUGUUAGGGAAGAACAAGUGCUAGUUGAAUAAGCUGGCACCUUGACGGUACCUAACCAGAAAGCCACGGCUAACUACGUGCCA
This 490-nucleotide ribosomal RNA is filed under the name bacterium WICC B-51. RNAcentral describes it as "bacterial SSU rRNA". It matches the Rfam family "Bacterial small subunit ribosomal RNA", at positions 47 to 510 of the family's 1533-position model. The record is from RNAcentral.